RNAcentral lists this ribosomal RNA (731 nucleotides) under uncultured Pelagibacterales bacterium. Its description in RNAcentral is "bacterial SSU rRNA". It matches the Rfam family "Bacterial small subunit ribosomal RNA", at positions 395 to 1143 of the family's 1533-position model. Lineage: Bacteria; Pseudomonadati; Pseudomonadota; Alphaproteobacteria; Candidatus Pelagibacterales. The record is from RNAcentral.
UGCCGCGAUGAGUGAAGAAGGCCCUUGGGUUGUAAAGCUCUUUCGUCGGGGAAGAAAAUGACUGUACCCGAAUAAGAAGGUCCGGCUAACUUCGUGCCAGCAGCCGCGGUAAUACGAAGGGACCUAGCGUAGUUCGGAAUUACUGGGCUUAAAGAGUUCGUAGGUGGUUGAAAAAGUUAGUGGUGAAAUCCCAGAGCUUAACUCUGGAACUGCCAUUAAAACUUUUCAGCUAGAGUAUGAUAGAGGAAAGCAGAAUUUCUAGUGUAGAGGUGAAAUUCGUAGAUAUUAGAAAGAAUACCAAUUGCGAAGGCAGCUUUCUGGAUCAUUACUGACACUGAGGAACGAAAGCAUGGGUAGCGAAGAGGAUUAGAUACCCUCGUAGUCCAUGCCGUAAACGAUGUGUGUUAGACGUUGGAAAUUUAUUUUCAGUGUCGCAGCGAAAGCGAUAAACACACCGCCUGGGGAGUACGACCGCAAGGUUAAAACUCAAAUGAAUUGACGGGGACCCGCACAAGUAGUGGAGCAUGUGGUUUAAUUCGAAGAUACGCGCAGAACCUUACCAACACUUGACAUGUUCGUCGCGACUCUAAGAGAUUAGAGUUUUCGGUUCGGCCGGACGAAACACAGGUGCUGCAUGGCUGUCGUCAGCUCGUGUCGUGAGAUGUUGGGUUAAGUCCCGCAACGAGCGCAACCCUCACUUUUAGUUGCCAUCAUUAAGUUGGGCACUCUGG